ACCCUCGCAGCAAGAAUGGCACGUGGGAAUUGACACCGCGAUCGUGGAACACAUGGCUGAUCUGCCUCGAAUAACUGCAAGCCGGCGCGUGCGUAGUGCCGUGGAGAACGAUCAGAAGUCCUGGACGACAAAGAAAAAAACUUCAAAGCUGCUUCUAGUAGUGGUGCCCCUGGUGUGCACCUUUACCCCAAAUGUCUGCACCUUUGCCUACCGCUGCCUCUGCGAACCCCGCUCCUGGACAACAGCUGGG
Long non-coding RNA from Rhipicephalus sanguineus (brown dog tick), 250 nucleotides. RefSeq lists it as uncharacterized. NCBI's taxonomy places the organism in Eukaryota, Metazoa, Arthropoda, Arachnida, Ixodida, Ixodidae. The transcript is spliced from 4 exons. The record is from RefSeq and is a predicted model, not a curated record.